RNAcentral lists this unclassified non-coding RNA (342 nucleotides) under soil metagenome. Its description in RNAcentral is "partial contains 5.8S ribosomal RNA, internal transcribed spacer 2, and large subunit ribosomal RNA". The stretch from base 1 to 120 matches the Rfam family "5.8S ribosomal RNA", at positions 35 to 154 of the family's 154-position model. The record is from RNAcentral.
GAUGAAGAACGUAGCGAAAUGCGAUAAGUAAUGUGAAUUGCAGAAUUCAGUGAAUCAUCGAAUCUUUGAACGCACAUUGCGCCCGCCAGCACUCUGGCGGGCAUGCCUGUUCGAGCGUCAUUUCAACCAUCAAGCCCCCAGGGGCUUGUGCUGGGGCCCUGCGGCUGCCCGCAGGCCCUGAAAACCAGUGGCGGGCUCGCUAGUCACACCGAGCGCAAUAGCACAUCUCGCUCAGGGCGUGCGGCGGGCUCCUGCCGUGAAACCCCCCACUGUAACCCCAAAGGUUGACCUCGGAUCAGGUAGGAAUACCCGCUGAACUUAAGCAUAUCAAUAAGCGGAGGA